UCGGAUCGCAGUCUGCAACUCGACUGCGUGAAGGUGGAGUCGCUAGUAAUCGCGGAUCAGCAACGCCGCGGUGAAUGCGUUCCCGGGCCUUGUACACACCGCCCGUCAAGUCAUGAAAGUGGGCAGCACCCGAAGACGGUGGCCUAACCCUUGUGGGGGGAGCCGUCUAAGGUGAGGCUCGUGAUUGGGACUAAGUCGUAACAAGGUAUC
This 210-nucleotide ribosomal RNA is filed under the name uncultured bacterium. RNAcentral describes it as "partial 16S ribosomal RNA". It matches the Rfam family "Bacterial small subunit ribosomal RNA", at positions 1293 to 1500 of the family's 1533-position model. The record is from RNAcentral.